GUCUUCCUCGCAGGUGGGUGACCUGCCUGAGGAAGGGGGUUCUCAGAGCAGCGCUGGACCACGGAUGCAGCGCUCUGUGGAAUAGCCACUGCUCAGGAGAAAGCCGCAGGAGACCAGGAUGCCCCGCCCAGGAGUGACAUUGAUGGAUGAGGGUUUGCUGCUCCUGCAGACGCGAGCCUCGCAGAACCCUGCCUGCUUGAGAGGCAGGGGGCCAAGACAAUCCGCUUUUUGUUGGGUGUGGGGCGGGACCACAUCUCUCGAUCGGUUCGUCUGAUGAUGGACACUCAGGUAGUUUCCGUACCUUGGCUGUCGUGAACAACGCUGCAGUGAAUGUGGGAGCGCAGGUGUAUCUCUUCCAUAUCCUGUUUUCAGCUAGCCACAUGCAGAAGAAUAAAACUGGAGCCCUGUCUUACACUAUUCACAAAAAUCAACUUAAAAUGGACAAAGACUUAAAUGUAUAACCGAAAAUCAUAAAAUUCCUAGAAGAAAACAUAAGAGAUAAGCUCCUUGAUAUUGGUCUUGGCAAUGACUUUUUGGAUUUGACACCCAAGCAAAGGCAACAAAAGCAAAAACA
Molecule: long non-coding RNA, 574 nt
Filed under: Equus caballus (horse)
Lineage: Eukaryota; Metazoa; Chordata; Mammalia; Perissodactyla; Equidae
Description: lncRNA (ENSECAG00000058242.1)
Source: RNAcentral